AUUAAGGUGGCAGAGUCAGGUAAGUGCAGGGGGCCUAAGACCCCCCUCCCCAGGUGUUCAAGUCACCUCCUUAAUA
This 76-nucleotide transfer RNA is filed under the name Larutia seribuatensis. RNAcentral's name for it is "tRNA-Leu". The record is from RNAcentral. Lineage: Eukaryota; Metazoa; Chordata; Lepidosauria; Squamata; Scincidae.